RNAcentral lists this unclassified non-coding RNA (401 nucleotides) under Hevea brasiliensis (rubber tree). The record is from RNAcentral. Lineage: Eukaryota; Viridiplantae; Streptophyta; Magnoliopsida; Malpighiales; Euphorbiaceae.
AAAAUUAUUAUUUUUAAAUGAAAGCAACAGGAUUAAAAGAUAAAACACUUGCAAACAAUACCCAUGGGAACAGAUAAAGUUCUAUAAUAACUCAGUUACUUGCAAGUAAAAGCCCCAGAAGAACACUCCCACUACGAAACUCUCCCCCACCCAGCCUUAAUACACUUGCACCCUACACUUGCCUCGAGCUUCAAACGUUGACCUCGUGCUUCAACCAUGUUUUACCAGGAAAAGAAACCAGAAAAGAGCAAGGGUUCAGUCUAGACUUGCCUACCAGCAGCUUCACCAACAAAUGGCAAAUAAGGAGUCUUACCCAGAACACAACUCACUAACCCAUAAACAAAGCAGAAACAACUGAACAAAAACACAGCAUUGUGGCCCCAAACCAUGAGCUUAAACCC